This 2426-nucleotide ribosomal RNA is filed under the name human metagenome. RNAcentral describes it as "bacterial LSU rRNA". It matches the Rfam family "Bacterial large subunit ribosomal RNA", at positions 14 to 2282 of the family's 2925-position model. The record is from RNAcentral.
AGUGCGAUCGGUGGAUGCCUUGGCACCAAGAGCCGAUGAAGGACGUUGUGACCUGCGAUAAGCCCUGGGGAGUUGGUGAGCGAGCUGUGAUCCGGGGGUGUCCGAAUGGGGAAACCUGGAAUGUCCGGAGUAGUGUCCGGUGGCCCUGCCCUGAAUGUAUAGGGGUGUGGGUGGUAACGCGGGGAAGUGAAACAUCUUAGUACCCGUAGGAAGAGAAAACAAGUGUGAUUCCGUGAGUAGUGGCGAGCGAAAGCGGAGGAGGCUAAACCGUGUGUGUGUUCAAGCCGGCAGGUGUUGCAUGUGCGGGGUUGUGGGGGCCUUGUGGUUCUGCUGCCGCAGGAUUGGCCAGUGAGAAAUGUUGCGUGAAGGUGAAGCGUCUGGGAAGGCGUACCGGAGUGGGUGAGAGUCCUGUAACUGUAAGCGUGGCACUGGUGUGGGGUUGCCCCGAGUAGCGUGGGACUCGUGGAAUUUCGCGUGAAUCUGGCGGGACCACCCGUCAAGCCUAAAUACUCCUUGGUGACCGAUAGUGGAUGAGUACCGUGAGGGAAGGGUGAAAAGUACCCCGGGAGGGGAGUGAAAGAGUUCCUGAAACCGGUCGCAUGCAAGCCGUCAGAGCCUGUGUGGUGAUGGCGUGCCUUUUGAAGAAUGAGCCUGCGAGUUAGUGAUGCGUGGCGAGGUUAACCCGUGGUGGGGGAGUCGUAGCGAAAGCGAGUCCGAUAAGGGCGUGAGUCGCGUGUUCUAGACCCGAAGCGGUGUGAUCUAUCCAUGGCCAGGAUGAAGCGUCGGUAAGACGUCGUGGAGGUCCGAACCCACUUCAGUUGAAAAUGGAGGGGAUGAGUUGUGGAUAGGGGUGAAAGGCCAAUCAAACACCGUGAUAGCUGGUUCUCCCCGAAAUGCAUUUAGGUGCAGCGUUGCGUGGUUCUUGUUGGAGGUAGAGCACUGGAUGGUCUAGGGGGCUUAUCGGCUUACCGAAAUCAGCCAAACUCCGAAUGCUGGCAAGUGUAGCGUGGCAGUGAGACGGCGGGGGAUAAGCUUCGUCGUCGAGAGGGAAACAGCCCAGAUCAUCAGCUAAGGCCCCUAAGUGGUGACUCAGUGGGAAAGGAUGUGGAGUUGCGUAGACAACCAGGAGGUUGGCUUGGAAGCAGCCAUCCUUGAAAGAGUGCGUAAUAGCUCACUGGUCAAGUGAUUCCGCGCCGAUAAUGUAGCGGGGCUUAAGUUAUCCGCCGAAGCUGUGGCAACCUGUGUGGUUGGGUAGGGGAGCGUCGUGUCAGUGGUGAAGCUGCCGGGUGACUGUGUGGUGGAGUUGAUGCGAGUGAGAAUGCAGGCAUGAGUAGCGUGUGACGGGUGGGAAUCCCGUCCGCCGAUUAUCCAAGGGUUCCAGGGUCAAGUUUGUCUGCCCUGGGUGAGUCGGGUCCUAAGGCGAGGCCGACAGGCGUAGUCGAUGGGUAACCAGUUGAUAUUCUGGUACCGGCUUGUCACCGUCCGUGUCGAGGUGUGUGAUGCUAAGCAUGUGAGCUUGUCUUGGGAGUGUUUUUGAUGCUUCUGGGGUGGGUGAGUGUGUGAACCGAUCAUGUAGUAGGCAAGCUGCGGAGGGACGCAGUGAGGUAGCUCAUCCCCGGUGAUGGUUGUCCGGGGCUAAGUGUGUGGACUGUCUGGUAGGUAAAUCCGCUGGGCGUGAAGGUUGAGGCAUGAUGGGGAGCCCAUGGUUGUGGGUGAGUGAGUGAUCCUGUACUGUCGAGAAAAGCUUCGUGAGCGAGGUGGCGGGUCCGCCCGUACCCUAAACCGACACUGGUGGAUAGGUAGAGUAUACCGAGGCGAUCGAGUGAAUCGUGGUGAAGGAACUCGGCAAAAUGCCCCCGUAACUUUGGGAUAAGGGGGACCUGAGCUGUCGUGCACCCGUGCGGUGUGGUGGCGGUGAGGGGCGCAGAGUCCAGGGGGAAACGACUGUUUACCAAAAACACAGGUCCGUGCGAAGUCGUAAGACGAUGUAUACGGACUGACUCCUGCCCGGUGCUGGAAGGUUAAGGGGAACUGUGAGUGUAUGCGUAGCGGUGAACUUAAGCCCCAGUAAACGGCGGUGGUAACUAUAACCAUCCUAAGGUAGCGAAAUUCCUUGUCGGGUAAGUUCCGACCUGCACGAAUGGAGUAACGAUUUCCCUACUGUCUCCACCAUGAACUCGGUGAAAUUGCAUUACGAGUAAAGAUGCUCGUUACGCGCAGCAGGACGGAAAGACCCCGGGACCUUUACUAUAGUUUGGUAUUGGUGAUUGGGACGGUUUGUGUAGGAUAGGUGGGAGACGUUGAUGCGGCCACGCUAGUGGUGGUGGAGUCGUUGGUGAAAUACCACUCUGAUUGUUCUGGUUAUCUCACUGUGGACCGUGAUCCGGUUCAAGGACAGUGCCUGAUGGGUAGUUUGACUGGGGCGG